UACGGAGGGUGCAAGCGUUGUCCGGAUUUAUUGGGUUUAAAGGGUGCGUAGGCGGCCCGUUAAGUCAGCGGUGAAAUCCCACGGCUCAACCGUGGAACUGCCGUUGAUACUGGCGGGCUUGAGUUCGGUCGAGGCGGGCGGAACUGGUGGUGUAGCGGUGAAAUGCUUAGAUACCACCAAGAACCCCGAUUGCGUAGGCAGCUCGCUUGGCCGAAACUGACGCUGAGGCACGAAAGCGUGGGGAGCGAACAGG
This 253-nucleotide ribosomal RNA is filed under the name uncultured bacterium. RNAcentral's name for it is "partial 16S ribosomal RNA". It matches the Rfam family "Bacterial small subunit ribosomal RNA", at positions 524 to 776 of the family's 1533-position model. The record is from RNAcentral.